UGCAAGUCGAGCGCGGGAAGCGAGUGGAUCCCUUCGGGGUGAAGCUCGUGGAACGAGCGGCGGACGGGUGAGUAACACGUGGGCAACCUGCCUGUAAGAUCGGAAUAACCCCGGGAAACCGGGGCUAAUGCCGGGUAAUACUUUCUUUCGCAUGAAGGAAAGUUGAAAGAUGGCUUCUCGCUAUCACUUACAGAUGGGCCCGCGGCGCAUUAGCUAGUUGGUGAGGUAACGGCUCACCAAGGCGACGAUGCGUAGCCGACCUGAGAGGGUGAUCGGCCACACUGGGACUGAGACACGGCCCAGACUCCUACGGGAGGCAGCAGUAGGGAAUCUUCCGCAAUGGACGAAAGUCUGACGGAGCAACGCCGCGUGAACGAUGAAGGUCUUCGGAUCGUAAAGUUCUGUUGUUAGGGAAGAACAAGUACCGUGCGAAUAGAGCGGUACCUUGACGGUACCUAACGAGGAAGCCCCGGCUAACUACGUGCCAGCAGCCGCGGUAAUACGUAGGGGGCAAGCGUUGUCCGGAAUUAUUGGGCGUAAAGCGCGCGCAGGCGGUUCCUUAAGUCUGAUGUGAAAGCCCACGGCUCAACCGUGGAGGGUCAUUGGAAACUGGGGAACUUGAGGACAGAAGAGGAGAGUGGAAUUCCACGUGUAGCGGUGAAAUGCGUAGAUAUGUGGAGGAACACCAGUGGCGAAGGCGACUCUCUGGUCUGUUUCUGACGCUGAGGUGCGAAAGCGUGGGUAGCAAACAGGAUUA
RNAcentral lists this ribosomal RNA (757 nucleotides) under Halobacillus sp. FGS6. Its description in RNAcentral is "bacterial SSU rRNA". It matches the Rfam family "Bacterial small subunit ribosomal RNA", at positions 56 to 780 of the family's 1533-position model. Lineage: Bacteria; Bacillati; Bacillota; Bacilli; Caryophanales; Bacillaceae. The record is from RNAcentral.